Molecule: long non-coding RNA, 688 nt
Organism: Aedes aegypti (yellow fever mosquito)
Lineage: Eukaryota; Metazoa; Arthropoda; Insecta; Diptera; Culicidae
Exons: 3
Source: RefSeq, a predicted model, not a curated record
GAAGUUGCUGAACUUUAAACCCUGUGUUAGAUUGAUUUCAAGCACGCGAAGGCAACAGCACAACAGAACAAAAUCACAACAUUUGGGAAACAGGAUUCAAAAUGCUCAGAUUGAAUAUAAAAAUAUCACAAUCUUUUAGGUUUGUUUACAUUUUCCAAUUGGAUAUUAGUUUUCUUGCAAAGCCUAUUAGAGAUAAGGUUGGUCUUUAGUCCAGUUAAAUUUAAUGUAAAACCACACUCAAGAUAAUAGCUCCCUUAAAUAUAUGUGCAAUUGCAUAUACAGUGCUCAAUUUUUGCUUUUCAUUAGAUUUAUUUGCCCCACAUACUCAUCAUAUUCUCAUCGAAUACUUUCUAUCUGAGUAACAUUGAAAGUAUGUGCGAGAUUUACUUAUGUGUAUUCCAUACCACAUGGUAUAAACGAAGAUGGCUGCCGAAGAAGUGUUACAUCGUUAACUUAAAGAUAACUUGAAGGUGUGGAAAUACUUUUAAAUCAACUACAACGACUGCGGGUUUUGGAAACAGCUAGCAAAGAAGGAUGGAACUUUAGCGGGAGCAAAUUGAACGAGGUGUCGUAAAACUAUUUAUUUCCUAAUAUUUUUACAGAUAAUAUGUAUUGAACUUUGGAGUAACGAAAAAAGUUUCUGUGUAACAAUGUUUCCAAUAUAACUGAUUAACAGAACAAAAUUGUA